CCAGAAGUUUGGCAGAUAUUAAAGAUUCAAACAUUUUUGGUUUUUUUUUUUUAAUAUUUUGUUCUUCUACCAGACUGUCUGAAAAAAAUCUUACUUUCACAUUGCCUUAUGAAUGGCAAAAGCAAUUUGGAGCUGAUUUUCAAGAAAUGUUUCAGUGCCACUUCCCCCACAUAACGAGACUUACUACCUGUUCAAAGAAUGUGAAGAGGGGAAAAGAGUUGAGGUUUCCAUAGUAACCUUUAGUAGUCCAAAGUAAAAUUGCAUAAAAUGAAAUCAUUAUCACUCAGCAACUAAAGAAGACAGCUCAGCUGAUGAAGAUCCAAGUUGUAAAUGACUGCCGCAAAUCCUGGUGAAAUUCUUGGAGGAAAACCAAUCACAACAGAAACAAAUAUUGGUCUUGCAGAAACACAAGGAAUCAGCUUCAGGAAGACUGUCUAUUUCAUGUAGAGACUUCUGCCUUGGAGAAAUAGAGAGGAAGGCUUGAUUAGUAAGGAAAAAAACCCUCUCACAAACUGAAGACUGCCUAACUGGGCAGCUUUUAUGCAUUACCCACUGCUGGUUAGCUAAGCACAGGUUACAAAAUCCAGAAAAGAGCACGUGCGUCAGUCACAAUGUCUGCCUGAGUCAAGCAGAACAAAAUCUGUGACAUUUCAACCCAGCUGAGAUUCUGAGGAGAUUAGACUGAGCAACACUAUGGUGGACAGGAUUUUUUUUCCAGUUCUUGAUAUGAAUCGGAGAAAUAAGAGUACUGUUCCUCUUGAAGCUUCAAAUAAUGGAAGCUGUAAUACAAAAGGCAACAUUAGUUCCAGAAUGGAGUCAAACAGGUUACACCAAGAAUGA
RNAcentral lists this long non-coding RNA (840 nucleotides) under Zonotrichia albicollis (white-throated sparrow). Its description in RNAcentral is "lncRNA (ENSZALG00000001873.1)". Lineage: Eukaryota; Metazoa; Chordata; Aves; Passeriformes; Passerellidae. The record is from RNAcentral.